Molecule: non-coding RNA, 29 nt
Filed under: Bombyx mori (domestic silkworm)
Lineage: Eukaryota; Metazoa; Arthropoda; Insecta; Lepidoptera; Bombycidae
Source: RNAcentral
UGAAACACAGUUUUCUCUUCUGGAUGAAC